Molecule: long non-coding RNA, 3114 nt
Organism: Ictalurus punctatus (channel catfish)
Lineage: Eukaryota; Metazoa; Chordata; Actinopteri; Siluriformes; Ictaluridae
Exons: 3
Source: RefSeq, a predicted model, not a curated record
CCGUUCUCAAGGUUGGACACACGAGGGCAGUCAAGCUCCAUCCAGCACAACACACAACGCCACCUGAAACAGAAGGAAGCUGCCUUAAUCACGAUGAACCCAGGCUACGCAGGCAGGACCGAGCUCCAGGACAACCUGGAGGCCGCUUCAGAUCCGUCUCCAUGAUUGUGCCCGACCACGCCGUCAUCGCAGAGGUGUGCUCGGGUGCCGUCAUUCAUUACAUUAUGUAAUGAACGCAAUAACGGAUGUAUUCUGGCGUGUUACAGAACCGUUUCACGUUGUCUUUUUUGCUGUAGGUGGACUUGUGAGCUGAGGGCUUCAAGUCCAGUGAGACUCUGGCGAAGAAGAUGAUUCAGCUGUAUAAGCUGUGCAGCAAGCAGCUUUCCCGGCAGGACCACUACGACUUCAACAUGAGAGUCGUCAACUCUGUUAUCGUCAUGGCCGGGUCUCUGAUGCGAGAGGACCCACACCUGAGUGAGAACGUGGUGUUGAUUAGAGCGCUACGAUACUCCAACCUGCACAAGUUACUCAAGGAUGACGCAGAACUUAAAAUAAAAUAAAUUGAUAAAUAGUAAAGAACGCCAAAGCUUACAUAUGGAGUAUCAAAGGUGUUGGCUCAAAUUUAGCCUAUUACCCAAAAACACUUAAAAUUCAACUUAGAAGCCAAUACUCACAUCUACCUCUGAGCCCAGUUGGAGAUAGAAAAAAACACCAGUUGUGAGUGAGAAGAAGCAAGGGUCCAGCUUUAUUGGUUCCGUUCCACCACACGAGAUCCACACCGAUGAGAAUUCCCAGAAGUGAUCUGAUACCCUGAGCUUAAGCUCCAGUAUUUAUAUUGUAUUUACCCAGUAAAUAACCCAUAUGUUUCAAGAAGACUAUAUCACUACCAAUAGGGUUAAAAAAGAGCUCAUCUAGCUUACUAUUAUGUUCAAGAAAAGGGCUAUUCCACUUGCACAUAGAAUCAAAACCAGGGGUUUUCAAAUUACACAUAAAAUCAAAACUAAGGGAUUUCUAAUAACCCAGAAAAUCAAAACCAAGGGAUUCUACUAACCCAGAGAAUCAAAACCAAGGGAUUCUACUAACCCAGAGAAUCAAAACCAAGGGAUUUGAAUAACCCGUAAAAUCAAAAGUGGAGAGACAAAACAUUAUCAUUAUCACAGGAUCACUGGAAUCAGGCACUAGGAGGAAAUUCCAGGACAAAUUAGGAAAUACAAUUAACUGACAUUUGCAAAUUCUUUGCAACUAAAAAGCUGUAAUUAUAUACUAUAUAACUUUUUUUUUAAAGCAUUUGAAGUAUAUAACAUUAGCACCUUGUAAUGUUAUACCAGAUGAAAAGUAAAGAAUCCUGGAACAUCUGAACAUCCAUAAUCUGAAAAUCUUGAACCUAGUGUCAAUCGAGUCAAUCCAAUCUUUGUGCGUUUAGCGGUAUUCAGUCGGACCUCUUUCCUGGUGUGGGCGUCCCCGUGCAUGACUACGGCGUGCUUCAGUCGAACAUCGAGGCAGCUCUAUGCGCCCGCUCCCUGCAGCCCGUCUCCAGCAUGACCGCCAAGGUGAUCCAGCUGUACGAAAACCACAGCGUACCGUGCCCUCGCUGACGCACUGCGCACCCUCCAUGAGACAGAGGGCUGCAAGGUGAAUCCCUUCUACAAGCCCAUCGAGACCGACGUGCUCAACCCACAGUCAGUGAGCAUGGACGAGCUGUAUGGUGAAGACGACCCUCUCACACUGGAGUGGAGUGCCAUCAAACUGUCCCUCGGCAGUGACACCGUCGACACGCACAAGUGGGUGGUGAGUGACGUACCUGUGGACGUGCCUGUGGAUUGAGAAAAUUACCUCCGUGUUGGACAACAACAAGACGCUCUGUCUGGCUAACGGUGAAAGGAUCAAGCUCACACCUUCUACACACAUGUUAUUCGAGGUGUUACCCAUCAGACACAGGUAGCAUCGGUCCUAAAAACCAUCACAAACAAGCACAAGCAUGUCAUUUCCAAGAAGAUUUUUUUUUUACAUUAAACGCGUUCCUGAUGGAAAGGUCACACACAAACGUAUCUUUAAGACUUCACUCUUUCACACGCCUAUAACGAGCGAUAAACGCAUUCGAAGCAUGUUAUAAAGCCUCCGUAAUGCAUUACGCAUAGUAUUUAAAUAAAUAUUAUUAUAAUAACAUGCACUACACUACAUUAUGAAUUCUUAACAUAUUGUUAACACGUCUUUACUGUGAGCGGGAUGAUGACCAGACGCAGACAGGCUCCCGGGUACUCAUAUCCGUAGACGUACUGAUACAGAGCCAUUCUGGCCACGCACUUAUCCAGAUCCACGUCCCAGUAUUAGCACAGCUGCUUCUGCCACUCAAAGUUACUGCUCGAGUCCACCUACGUGAACACAUACAAAAUGACAUGUGAUAUAUAUAUACGGUCUCACUGUACACGAAUUGGGCAUUCUCGCUGACGAUAUAGCGUGGAUAGUUUAUAAUGAGUGCGUUCAUACUGUAUAAACCUGGGAACUGAUUUGCAUAUGCACUGCUGUCAGAGCUGCAGUUAUUUUUAAAAGAUUUAUUAACAGCUUCUGACCAAUCAGAUCUGACCACACCCAUGAUUCCCUUCGCUCUGAAGAGAAGGUGUGUAGCCAUCUGUACCCUUUCAUUGACGAGCUCGGUGACGAUGUCUCUGGUGUGGACAUCCACAGUAAUGAGAGCUGUGAUGAUGCUCUGAUGUAUUUUGGGUAAGUUACCCAAGAGUGGCCAACACAUUCAGCCUCUGUAUAAAUACAGACACACACACACACAGAGUAAUACCCGUACAUUACCACAUAUUACACCAUACACCAUUAUGUCAUGUAAUCAGAGAAGGAAAUCUGAACUACAGUUCCCAGCAGCCACUGCAUCACAGUCACAUGACCACCUGCACCUGGAUCACAUUCCUAGUAAGCACUUGUGUAUUUAGCCACAGUUUUCACUGCACUCUUUGUCUCACGUUUGUCUUUCUUUACCUUUGUCCCUGGUGCUGUGUUUUUCUCUUUGGUUUAUGUUUAGUCUUUGCCACAGUGAUUUGCCCCAAUGUCAGUGUCUUUUGUAUUUUGUUUAGUUCUUUAUUAAACUUGAAAAAUCUGCACUUG